AGUCCGCAAGGCAGUCGCUUGGUGUAACCAAGAGGAAAGUCCGGGCAGCAUAGAACGCAGUAGUCGUUAACGGCGACCGUUUGAUCGUUUAGAAAUGUAGAGAUACAUCAAAAAACCUAAAAAUAGGGAAAGUGCCACAGAGACAAUACCGCCUUAGGGUAAGGGUGAAAAGUGUGAGGUAAGAGCUCACGGCGUACUAUGGUGACAUAGACGAUGGUAAACCCUACUGGCUGCAAGGAGUGCUAGAGAACCUUUGUUCGAGGAUGCACGCUCACCGCUUGAAUAUUUUGGCAACAAAAUGUCUAGAUAGAUGACUGUCGGCUUAUUUAAUAUCUCCCCUGUUAUGGUUAUCUUGUGAUAGGGAAUCGAUAGAACGUAAGUUACAGAACCCGGCUUAA
This 398-nucleotide RNase P RNA is filed under the name human oral metagenome. Its description in RNAcentral is "Bacterial RNase P class A". It matches the Rfam family "Bacterial RNase P class A". Rfam says of the family: Ribonuclease P (RNase P) is a ubiquitous endoribonuclease, found in archaea, bacteria and eukarya as well as chloroplasts and mitochondria. Its best characterised activity is the generation of mature 5'-ends of tRNAs by cleaving the 5'-leader elements of precursor-tRNAs. Cellular RNase Ps are ribonucleoproteins. The record is from RNAcentral.